Molecule: long non-coding RNA, 321 nt
Filed under: Cicer arietinum (chickpea)
Lineage: Eukaryota; Viridiplantae; Streptophyta; Magnoliopsida; Fabales; Fabaceae
Description: long non-coding RNA (CARI_LNC000472)
Source: RNAcentral
UAACAACAACAACAACAACAACAACAAAAAAAACCUUUGAUAAAAAGAACUCACCGUUGGUGAUAAAGGAGAAGACAAUGUUCCGAUUGGUCGUUGAACUCCCUUUUAUCUGAAUUGCCACUUUGACUCUUUUCAUUUGUUGGUUAGUAUCCUCUGCUGCUUUGAUUGAAACCGGUUAGUAGUUACAAAUUGAGACAUGCAAGGUUUAAAAAUGGGUUUAAGGAGCUUUGUCAAGCUUUUGAGUUUGAUUCAUUUAAAAAAAAUGAAGGAAAAUGAGAGGUUGAAGAUUGGGAGGAUGGGAGGAUGGAUGCAGGUAAUGAA